GGCUAAAGCCUGACUCCUGGAGUCUACCUGCCUGGGCCCAGAUUGAGGUUUCAUCCUCUGCUAGAUGAGUCUCCUUAAGCUUUAGAGUCUGCCAGUCAGGCAUCAAUGUCAUCAGAUCAGUGCUUUCAAAACACCCAUGUGAAGACAUCAGAAGGCUGUCUCCAUCACCACAUCACAAUGCCUCCUGCUGUGAUCCCAUUGCUUAACUUCAAACAGAGGCACUCAGCUCACAGACAGCUACUUCCCCUUUACCCAGGAGGGCAGAUACCACACCAGUUCAUAAUUUUGUGCUGAGCGCUGAGUCUCAGGCAGUUUGAGGAAGAGACGGAGGUCAGUUACUUCACUGAAGUGAUGGCCCUCUGUGUCCUGGGCCAGCUGCUGAGUGACUUCCUGGUUUCCCCUCCACAAGGCACCUCUGUCCUUGGACUGCCCGAGUAGCUGCGUUGAAAGUUAUCCUUGAGUUUAUCUUGAGUUGAAAAUUACAUUAUCGCUUCCUGGUCUGGGCCAGUGCCCUGUAACACUUCUUCACUAUGGCUGAGACUUGGAAGCAGAUAAGAGAAGGAAAGAAUUCAUCAAAAGCUGGUCACUUUUUCUUUCUGCAAAAAGGGACUUUAGCCAAAGGUCAAUAAAAG
This is a long non-coding RNA of Neofelis nebulosa (Clouded leopard), 632 nucleotides long. RefSeq lists it as uncharacterized. The transcript is spliced from 3 exons. Lineage: Eukaryota; Metazoa; Chordata; Mammalia; Carnivora; Felidae. The record is from RefSeq and is a predicted model, not a curated record.